This 253-nucleotide ribosomal RNA is filed under the name uncultured bacterium. Its description in RNAcentral is "partial 16S ribosomal RNA". It matches the Rfam family "Bacterial small subunit ribosomal RNA", at positions 524 to 776 of the family's 1533-position model. The record is from RNAcentral.
UACGUAUGGUGCAAGCGUUAUCCGGAUUUACUGGGUGUAAAGGGAGCGUAGACGGACUUGCAAGUCUGAAGUGAAAGCCCGGGGCUCAACCCCGGGACUGCUUUGGAAACUGUAGGUCUAGAGUGCUGGAGAGGUAAGUGGAAUUCCCAGUGUAGCGGUGAAAUGCGUAGAUAUUAGGAGGAACACCAGUGGCGAAGGCGGCUUACUGGACAGUAACUGACGUUGAGGCUCGAAAGCGUGGGGAGCAAACAGG